UUGAUCAUGGCUCAGGACGAACGCUGGCGGCGUGCCUAAUACAUGCAAGUAGAACGCUGAAGAGAGGAGCUUGCUCUUCUUGGAUGAGUUGCGAACGGGUGAGUAACGCGUAGGUAACCUGCCUUGUAGCGGGGGAUAACUAUUGGAAACGAUAGCUAAUACCGCAUAACAAUAGGUGACACAUGUCAUUUAUUUGAAAGGGGCAAUUGCUCCACUACAAGAUGGACCUGCGUUGUAUUAGCUAGUAGGUGAGGUAACGGCUCACCUAGGCGACGAUACAUAGCCGACCUGAGAGGGUGAUCGGCCACACUGGGACUGAGACACGGCCCAGACUCCUACGGGAGGCAGCAGUAGGGAAUCUUCGGCAAUGGGGGCAACCCUGACCGAGCAACGCCGCGUGAGUGAAGAAGGUUUUCGGAUCGUAAAGCUCUGUUGUAAGUCAAGAACGAGUGUGAGAGUGGAAAGUUCACACUGUGACGGUAGCUUACCAGAAAGGGACGGCUAACUACGUGCCAGCAGCCGCGGUAAUACGUAGGUCCCGAGCGUUGUCCGGAUUUAUUGGGCGUAAAGCGAGCGCAGGCGGUUUGAUAAGUCUGAAGUUAAAGGCUGUGGCUCAACCAUAGUUCGCUUUGGAAACUGUCAAACUUGAGUGCAGAAGGGGAGAGUGGAAUUCCAUGUGUAGCGGUGAAAUGCGUAGAUAUAUGGAGGAACACCGGUGGCGAAAGCGGCUCUCUGGUCUGUAACUGACGCUGAGGCUCGAAAGCGUGGGGAGCGAACAGGAUUAGAUACCCUGGUAGUCCACGCCGUAAACGAUGAGUGCUAGGUGUUGGAUCCUUUCCGGGAUUCAGUGCCGCAGCUAACGCAUUAAGCACUCCGCCUGGGGAGUACGACCGCAAGGUUGAAACUCAAAGGAAUUGACGGGGGCCCGCACAAGCGGUGGAACAUGUGGUUUAAUUCGAAGCAACGCGAAGAACCUUACCAGGUCUUGACAUCCCGAUGCUAUUUCUAGAGAUAGAAAGUUACUUCGGUACAUCGGUGACAGGUGGUGCAUGGUUGUCGUCAGCUCGUGUCGUGAGAUGUUGGGUUAAGUCCCGCAACGAGCGCAACCCCUAUUGUUAGUUGCCAUCAUUCAGUUGGGCACUCUAGCGAGACUGCCGGUAAUAAACCGGAGGAAGGUGGGGAUGACGUCAAAUCAUCAUGCCCCUUAUGACCUGGGCUACACACGUGCUACAAUGGUUGGUACAACGAGUUGCGAGUCGGUGACGGCAAGCUAAUCUCUUAAAGCCAAUCUCAGUUCGGAUUGUAGGCUGCAACUCGCCUACAUGAAGUCGGAAUCGCUAGUAAUCGCGGAUCAGCACGCCGCGGUGAAUACGUUCCCGGGCCUUGUACACACCGCCCGUC
This 1401-nucleotide ribosomal RNA is filed under the name uncultured bacterium. RNAcentral describes it as "16S ribosomal RNA". It matches the Rfam family "Bacterial small subunit ribosomal RNA". The record is from RNAcentral.